This 424-nucleotide ribosomal RNA is filed under the name uncultured bacterium. RNAcentral describes it as "partial 16S ribosomal RNA". It matches the Rfam family "Bacterial small subunit ribosomal RNA", at positions 360 to 776 of the family's 1533-position model. The record is from RNAcentral.
AAUAUUGGAAAUUGGGGGGAACCCUGAUCCAGCCAGGCAGCGAGAUUGAAGAUGGUCUACGGUUANAAAAGCAUUUUAAGGAGGAANAUAUGGAUGUAGGCAACUACCUUCCAAUUUUGUAGACACCAACAGAAGAAACACCCGAUAACUUCGUGCCAGCCUCCGCGGUAAUACGAAGGGUGCAAGCGUUAAACGGAAUUACUGGGCGUAAAGCGCGCGUAGGUGGUUCGUUAAGUUGGGAGUGAAAGCCCCGGGCUUAACCUGGGAAUUGCUUUCAAAACUGACGAGCUAGAGUACGGUAGAGGGUAGUGGAAUUUCCUGUGUAGCGGUGAAAUGCGUAGAUAUAGGAAGGAACAUCAGUGGCGAAGGCGACUACCUGGACUGAUACUGACACUGAGGUGCGAAAGCGUGGGGAGCAAACAGG